Molecule: non-coding RNA, 45 nt
Organism: Schistosoma rodhaini
Lineage: Eukaryota; Metazoa; Platyhelminthes; Trematoda; Strigeidida; Schistosomatidae
Source: Rfam
AUCCAGCCGACGAGUCCUAAAUGAAACUAAACGAGCGUCUUGGAU